AUCAAUCGAUCUACGACUACUGGU
This 24-nucleotide non-coding RNA is filed under the name Arabidopsis thaliana (thale cress). The record is from RNAcentral. Lineage: Eukaryota; Viridiplantae; Streptophyta; Magnoliopsida; Brassicales; Brassicaceae.